CGGCCGGCUCCUCUAAAAUGAAUCAGCUUACCAGUGUUUGGUGGGUACCAUGGGUGUGAUAACUAUCUACGCUUGUGGUUUUCCACCAGGUAACCUUCAGCAGUUGGAGGUUCAUUGGAGCUCAUAGAUGUCUCUCCUCAGUGAGGACAGCCCUUUGAAUGUUUGAUCUCAAAUCAGGUAGGACUACCCGCUGAACUUAA
Molecule: unclassified non-coding RNA, 200 nt
Filed under: soil metagenome
Description: partial contains internal transcribed spacer 2 and large subunit ribosomal RNA
Source: RNAcentral